AGUCGAGCGGAUUGAUGGGAGCUUGCUCCCAUCAGUCAGCGGCGGACGGGUGAGUAACACGUGGGUAACCUGCCUGUAAGACUGGGAUAACUCCGGGAAACCGGGGCUAAUACCGGAUAACUCAUUUCCUCGCAUGAGGAAAUGUUGAAAGGUGGCUUUUAGCUAUCACUUACAGAUGGACCCGCGGCGCAUUAGCUAGUUGGUGAGGUAACGGCUCACCAAGGCGACGAUGCGUAGCCGACCUGAGAGGGUGAUCGGCCACACUGGGACUGAGACACGGCCCAGACUCCUACGGGAGGCAGCAGUAGGGAAUCUUCCGCAAUGGACGAAAGUCUGACGGAGCAACGCCGCGUGAGUGAUGAAGGUUUUCGGAUCGUAAAACUCUGUUGUUAGGGAAGAACAAGUACCGUUCGAAUAGGGCGGUACCUUGACGGUACCUAACCAGAAAGCCACGGCUAACUACGUGCCAGCAGCCGCGGUAAUACGUAGGUGGCAAGCGUUGUCCGGAAUUAUUGGGCGUAAAGCGCGCGCAGGUGGUUCCUUAAGUCUGAUGUGAAAGCCCACGGCUCAACCGUGGAGGGUCAUUGGAAA
Molecule: ribosomal RNA, 591 nt
Filed under: Rossellomorea aquimaris
Lineage: Bacteria; Bacillati; Bacillota; Bacilli; Caryophanales; Bacillaceae
Also listed under: 2 other names
Description: bacterial SSU rRNA
Rfam family: Bacterial small subunit ribosomal RNA
Source: RNAcentral